UGUAAACACGUGCUAUCGCAAUGAACUACUGCCUUAUUGUAAGUACGUUUUUUUACCUGACGUUCUACUAUAAAAGCAAGUUUGUUUGUCAAAAGAUAUGUGACUGCUCCUUCUGAUUCUUGACAAAGUGAACUGUAAGUUUGUCUAUUUUUGAUGAUUUCAUAACUUUAGUAACUUUCAUCUUUAUUGUUUAGUGGAUCUUUAGCAUGAUCAACUUAGAUGGUCAAGAUAAGGCAAGAGGUCUCGAGCUCUUCGAUACUAAUAUUCGUUGUCCUCUUCCAAUUUCUUUUAAAAAAUCUUUUUUUGGCUUAUAAUUUUGGACGCCAAAAGCGCGGUUUUUUUUCUGCUAAAGACUCAUUAGUGACGCUCGAUCUAACAACAUUUAAAGGGCCAAAUAAUGAACAAAGUCGAAAAGCAUUGACGUUCAAUAAUUCAAAAGAUACUGCAUGGAUGUGUAGUAUCAAAUAUUUAUGUUUAUUACUUGCAUUUGGACAUUUAAAAAAAUGAUUAAUUUCAUUCAUCUAUUUCGUCCGCAUGGAACAAUGCAAAAGCUAAAAAAAAGGGGGGAUGACUUUGUGUGCAUGGAAUUAUUUUAUACCCCAUGAAUAGAUUACAUUAGGCUUUCGGAAUUUUUACCCUUAGUUCUCUCAAACUUCUUAUAUUAUUUAUAUUGUCAAACUCAGACGAUUUGAUUUAUUUAUUUAUUCAUUUGUUUUAUUUAAUCAUGUUCAAAAUCGAAUAGGAAGAAAUAAAUCGAGGUAAAAUGCGACAAUUUGGGUAAUCACGAGAACACCAAAAUGUGCACGAUCGGGUGCGUCGACAGGUAAGUGUAUCCUAUUAUUGAUGCAUCACCCGCCAUUUUAAUUCUCACUUAGUGAAAAUUUUAGAAAAAGUUAUUCGUGUGCAUGAAAUUUUUAAAUAUCUUCAUUUCAAUGUUCGCAUUGUCAUUGUACAACUUUUGCAUGAGUAAAAAUUUGUGUACUAAAUUGGUAAUCAUCGUCAUACAAAUUGUAAAAUGUUUAUACAAUAUCAUAUAUGUAAAUGACUCAAAAGAGUUUUUGUAAGAGACGAUAUUGUCGCAGGACUAUAAUUUUAUUCAUUUUCUUUAUUUUAGAAAGCAUUUCAGUAAACAAGCAUUAUGAAGGUUUCUGUUUGUAUUGUUCUAUGUCUGUUGUUGGCUUUUGCGGGAAGUAAGUAUUAUUAAACACAACAUAAAGUCUAGCGGUGAAGGAAGUCUACACUGAGCGAAAAAAAACCCACAAUAAAUUUAUAUAAAUUGUACUCCUUAUCCAUUUGAUAAGUCUCAGUAUCUUAUCGAUCAAUUUCUCUUCAGGUCUUGUAUCAAGAAAGAGAGGUGGAAUAUGUCAAACGGAUACUGAAAUUCACAUGUUGUUAAAAAAUAAGCUGACAACAUCCUUGUGAAAAACAAAAACGAUCAAAAGACGAACAACAGUAUACGAACAACAACGUAGAAAAAUGAAGGACAUUGUAGUCUCUGACUGCCUUUAAGUACACUGGAACAUCAUUAUCAUUAAGCUGUGACGCAUAAAUAUUAAUGCUUUCUUUCAUUUAUAUAUUCAAAAUGUAAUGAACGGUUCGGCUCAAGCUUACGUCAUACAAGUCUUUAUAUGGGGUUUAGUUCAAAUAUUAACAUAAUUAUGCAAGUCUUUGUAAUUAGUCGCAUUAACGUUGAUUUCGAUAUGUAAUUUGAUAUUCAUCUUACAUUAAGCUAGCACAGCCAAAGCAGAAACAUUUGGAAAACGUCUUCUAAGGUAUAUAUCUAAUAAUGAAUAUAAAUAGAUUAUAACAAACACUUAAUUAACUGAUAGACUUAAGGGAGUAGUAUAUUUCCUAUUGUAUUAUAAUUAUAGAUUUUAUUAUACUUAUAUAUAAAAUGAAAAUAACACUUUCUCAAUAUCGUGCAUCUAGAGCGCUAUUAGGAUUUGCUUUCAUCAGGAACGCUCAAUCACGAAUAUACAACUGUAAACAGCCUAAUGAUGUUUAAGACCUAGGUAGAUAAAGAGUUUUAUCCUGCAAUUGGGUGUCUUACUAUACAGAUACAGCCCUACAGAUAUCGCUAUGCUGUAACUGUAUACUAUACAGAUAUCGCUUUAAAGCUCCGCUCACGGUUGGACUACGUUUUUGUAUUGCUGUUGACGAGUGUUGUAUGAACCUGCGUUACCUCAAAAUGUAUAUUGCAGUCGCAUUCAAAUGACGUAUUGUUGGAAAUUAUGCGAAUUAACGAUUACUUUUAUACGUUCUGUUUGUUUUCAACAUUUCUUUUGAGCAAUAAGAAUUAAAGUAAUUUUCUGAUAACAGACAUGAACAGCAGUAUUUUCUACGACGAAAAUCAUUUAUUUCAAAACUUGAAUGUGUACAUGUGUAACAAAAUCAACCAUGUCAAUUUCGGCAUGCAUGUUAAGUGAAUGUCAUGUUCAGUAGAUAUUAUUAUGAAGCGUAGGACAACUCGUCCACUUCUUUUUUUAACUUGGACAAUGUUUUGUUAUUUGUUUUUUUUUCUGUCUCCAGCUGAAUUUGUGAUUUUAUUGUUAAUACGCGGGCCUCAAGGGAUUUUAAAUCGAACAUAAAUGCAAACAGGUGAGUCUUUGUGUCUUUCAAAGCACAAACAAUAUACAUAAUUAAUUGCAGGAUAAAUACAAUAACUGUUUAGUGUCUUUAAAUAUCAGCUGUAUUUGAACUCGGCUCGAAACAAAAGUAAUAGCUUGUUAAAGCUCGCAUUACACCUGUUUCUUAGCCUCGUACAAAUACAGCUGAUAUUCAAAGACAAUAAACAUGUAUUGUCUAUAUAUUGGCGCUCUAUCAGAAUAGAUUAGAUUUUUUUAUUGUAUUGCAUGACCUUGUUCCAAUAUUAUACCCAACAGAAUAUAAAAAAUAGUAUACUUUUUUUUUUAUGAAACUACAUGUAAAUUUUUUAACAGUACUCUGCAGAAUUGAAUUUGGCAACACAUAAGUCUGAUGUCCUAUCUAAUAUAGAAUAAUAUUGACAUCUUGCUCAUCAGCAAAAAUACAGGCAAAACAAUUUAUAUGUUUACAACCAAAUUGAUUAUGAUAAUGCACAUAUACAAUGUAAAACAACUUUACAAGUAUUGAUAAAGUUUUUGUCCAAGCGGGAUAAUUACUGAAAUGCCUAAUACGAGCAAUGUUAAUUCAAAUUCGGCUUUCUUGCAACAAGUAAACAUCUAUUUAGUUGGGAUGGAAAUAUGUGAAAUGGUUAGAUAUAAACUGUAUGUACAUUAUAAAAACCCUUUGAUAUCAAAAUUUCUUUUAGAUUUUUUGGUGAUGUUUCAAAAACAAAAUCUGUAUUAUUUUCUUAUUAUGUUUUCGAGAAAAAAUCACCAAGAAAAUUAUCAGUAAUCGACAGAUCCCUUUGACACAAUAAACAUUCAAUGUGAUUUUUUUCUUUUAAAAGUAUUAUCUCUAUGUUGUAGCCGUAUGAGACGAGCCGGUUACUGUAGUGCAGUAGGAGUGAGUUGCGAUUCUGACUUGGCUUGUUGUUCUAAAAAGUGUGCGUACGGAAAGUGCUUUUAAUGGAUGGUUUAGCAGCUUUGGAGAAAACGGAGUUAACAGUCAUCAUCUGGAUUUAUUAUGUAGUGGAUUAAAUAAAAAUUGCCAUCAAAAUUUCAAUUAAACAAGAUAUUAAUUGAAGUAUAUGUCACAUCAUUUCUUUAGAUGUUUUCAUUAAGUUCAUAAAAACUCCUCCACCACAGAGGCAAAACUACAUAGAUAUAUAUUCUAGCUCAGAAAUAUAUUACCUUAGCUGUAUUUGGCAAAACGCCAGGAAUAUUUGUCCUCAAAACUCUUCAACUUCGUACUUUAUUUAGCCUUUUUAACUUUUGUUUUAGCGUCACUGAUGAGUCUUUUGUAGACGAGACGCGCGUCUGUCGCAAAUAUAAAAUUUCAAUCCUGGUAUCUAUGAUGAGUUUAUUUGUACCGCCUAUUGUUUUUUUUUUUUCAAUUGGAGAUACAAUUUGUAUUUGCAAAAUGUUAAUAAUAUACUUUUUUUUAUCUUAUUAAUUUUCUAACGUAUAACUUCACAGAAGUUAUUAAGCUCAAUUUUUAAAUUCGACAAGUGCAUCUUCUUCUUAUUUUUUCUACAUGGGGAUGAAUCUUAUUCACUUAGUUUUUUAAUAACCUUAUCGAUUUCGGUCUUCUCUAUAGAAGUCAACAGUAGCAUACCGCUGUUCAAUAGCAAUACAUCGAUUAAGCGAAAACAAAUCCGGGUCACAAACCAAAACCGAUGGAAACACAUCAACCACAAGUUGAAAGAAACGGAACACUGAAAUGCUAAAAAAACGAACAAACAUACAUAUUCAAUAUAUACGAAAUAAUUCAAUAUAAUCCACUAAUUGUGUACUUUAAGACCUCCUUCCAGCAUGGUAGCUAGUGAUUUCAUACUGACUCGGUCAAAUACAAGAUCUGUUUUACAAAUUUAAGUUUAGUUACUUAGGAAAUAUAAUGGCACUGAAUUUACUUUUGAUUGUAAAUGGAUAAGAUUAUAUAAUCUAGACGUUCAGUACAGGCUUGUUAGUCGUCAUUUUUCUAUGACGACAUACAUUGUAAUAUCUUGAAAUUUGGCUUAAAUAGGUAAUUUUUUCACAU
This 4620-nucleotide long non-coding RNA is filed under the name Mytilus galloprovincialis (Mediterranean mussel). Lineage: Eukaryota; Metazoa; Mollusca; Bivalvia; Mytilida; Mytilidae. The record is from RNAcentral.